CCCGAACCGAACCGCAACGCCGCCCGCAGCUCCCUCCUGCCGUCGCUCCCCUCGCGCCCGCAAGCCGCGUCGCCCGCGACCCACACCUCCGCCACGCCCCGCUGCCGGCGACCUUCACCGCCGGACCUCCGGCCGCUCCAACGCCUCGCCCCUCUCCCUUCUCCUCCUUCCUCUCGGUCUCCUCUCACCUCUCUCCCUCUUUCUCGCCGAACAUGGACCUCCAGGAGGGCCAUGGCGCCACCGGCCCUCAAUCUUGCCGGAUCCGGCCGCCUCCGCGCCAAAUCCGCCAUAAAUGGAUCCACCCCGGCCAGAUCCGACCGGUCCCCGCCGUCGCCGCCACCGGAGCGCCGCCCCGCUCGACCUGCAGCGCCGCCGCUGCCUGUCCCAGCCCACGUCUGCACGAGGACGACGCUCGUCCCGCUCGCUCGCAGCACUUGCUCCAGGCCGCCGCCCCAGCCGGCCCGGCAUCAAGCCAAGGCCCAGUUCAAGCCGCAUCUUCUGCCGCUUUGUCACCGCCCGCCCGUGGCACCACCUUGAGAUCAGCCCCGACGCCACCACCGAGCUCCCCUGUGCUCGUCGGGCACCCGCGGUCCUAAAUUUGGCUGGUUCAAAUUAAGUUGGAAGAAAAGGAAGGGGAGACGCGCAGGCAGAGCUCGCCGGCGGCAGCGCUUACCCCGGGCGCGGGGGUGAUCAGCCGAUGCGGUGGUGGCCAUGGGCGCCGGUGGCUGGAAGAGGUACAGAGGAGAAGGGGCGCAAGAGGGAGAGAGAUGAUAGGAAGGGGAGGGCUAGCGGGCUUGUGAAGGUCGACGGCGGCGAAGUUGAUGCCCGUGCCGUGGGGGAAGCGGAUCUUGGCUGGGGAAGGGAGGGAGAGGAGUGGCGGUUGCACCCGGUGCGGCGGCGAGGAGAAGUAAGCGCGAGGUCGGAGGCGCGGGAGCAUGGGAGGUCGCUCCCUGGGCGGAGAAACCAGCGACAAUGGUGAUCCCUCCACCAGACAGGGCAGCUAGAAUCGUCGGUUUUCUCAAGCCCAACCUUUUGAGGAUGGAUUUCUCGAACAAGUUUGUGACCGCCCAGGUGAUCCACACCCCAACAACAACCGUCCCGUGUUCUGCGAGCUCACGGGAGAAGCUGCUGAGAUCGCACAUGUAGUCGACCGGCGACGUCUCUGCCGCCGCAAAGAUUGGAAAGUUGUUGGGCGAGCGCCUGCUGCUCAAGUAGAUACCUGCCGUGUCCAUCCACAUGAAGAGAGAGCAGAAGUACCAUGGGAAAGUCAAGGCUGUUGUAGAUUCUGUCAGAGAAGCUGGUGUCAAGUUGUUGUGAUGGUGAAAACAUAGAGCUCGGCUUAGCAUUUGCGCAGUCUUAGCUGUAUUUCUGAUGUUUGGACUGAUUCACAACCACUUUUGUGUUUAUGAAUUCGACGCUAAACGAACGUUGUCCAGGACCCACGUUAAUAAAAGGACUGUGUUGUCGGGACUCAAC
This 1476-nucleotide ribosomal RNA is filed under the name Triticum aestivum (bread wheat). RNAcentral describes it as "partial small subunit ribosomal RNA". Lineage: Eukaryota; Viridiplantae; Streptophyta; Magnoliopsida; Poales; Poaceae. The record is from RNAcentral.